Molecule: non-coding RNA, 23 nt
Filed under: Arabidopsis thaliana (thale cress)
Lineage: Eukaryota; Viridiplantae; Streptophyta; Magnoliopsida; Brassicales; Brassicaceae
Source: RNAcentral
GGCUAUGAAUGCCUUGGAGAGUU